Molecule: ribosomal RNA, 261 nt
Filed under: uncultured bacterium
Lineage: Bacteria
Description: partial 16S ribosomal RNA
Rfam family: Bacterial small subunit ribosomal RNA
Source: RNAcentral
GAAUCAACGCUGGCGGCGUGCCUCAGACAUGCAAGUCGAACGCGAAAGUCCCCUUCGGGGGACGAGUAGAGUGGCGCACGGGUGAGUAACACGUAGGUAAUCUACCUUUGGAUGGGGAAUAACAACCGGAAACGGUUGCUAAUACCGCAUAAUGCAGCGGCACCUAAUGGUGACAGUUGUUAAAGCGGGGGAUCGAAAGACCUCGCGUCUGAAGAGGAGCCUGCGGCGGAUUAGCUAGUUGGUAAGGUAACGGCUUACCAA